Molecule: long non-coding RNA, 3034 nt
Organism: Gadus macrocephalus (Pacific cod)
Lineage: Eukaryota; Metazoa; Chordata; Actinopteri; Gadiformes; Gadidae
Exons: 4
Source: RefSeq, a predicted model, not a curated record
GUACACUGGUGACUGGAGACUUGACUACACUACACGGCACUGCGCUGGGCGUAAAAACCCAUAGUUCACACUGUCAAUCACCCGUCCUCAUUACACACCCUGUAAUUAGAGGGGUUUUGUGGGGACCGCGUCUGAGUGAGAGUGUUUUUUGUGUGUUUGCGUGCACAAUGUUUUUAAACGAGAGAAAGUUUUUUCCGGAGACAAGUGUCCACACACAGACGUAAUUUACUUUGUGUAAACGCUCGCUUCGGAAUAGACGAUGUGUUAGCCUAGGUUAUAUGCUUUGCAGCUUUUGCCUGUGUACUUUGUAUGUACGUGCACACUGUGUGUGUGUGUGUGUGUAUGUGUGCUCGUAAUAAUCACCGUCUUACUUCAAAGGGCGCGAAACCUGUGAUUUGGACACAUCAGUAAGUCCUGUUUAGACUCACAUCAGUGCAGUCAGUCAUUUCCUGGUCACACCUGACUGAGUGAGCUCAGCCGAGGAGUGUACAUAAGGAGAGCUAAUGGGAAGUGGAGAUAGCCCUUGCCUGUAAUUUCCCAAAGCCCUAUUCAUUAAGGACUUCUUCCUCUUUCUUUUAAAAAAUUGCAUUUUUUAACCCUUAUGGGUCCUAUAUAUUUUUAACAAAAUCUCAAUUUGUAUGCUACAUCAAUUAUAGUAGCAUGACAAGUAUGAAUAAUACACAAAACCCUACAGGAAUACUUAAACAGCUAGUAUGGUGGACUGUGACUGUUUACAUUCACCCAUGUCAAUGGUUUGUUUUUCUGAUAAUAUAAUCUGGGUGUUUCUCACACUCUGAUUAAGAUAAUUCUGUGUUGGCGUGCCGUUGGCGUAGACGGUGACACGGACAGGAAAUGAGUAAGCGUAUAUACCAGAGGGCUGUGGGGCAAUAGACGACACCUACUAGUGCUGAGGCUUGCCCCCGAUAGACUCCACUCCGAGGCCUAUCAUUACGCUUGUUUAGAAGAACUAGACUAAACUUCCUGGGAGAAUCCACGGAUAAUUCAAAACCGCUCCUCAGGACGGAAUCCCACUCUGAAACGGUGUCGUUUAUGGGACUUCCACCACAGAUUACCGUGGGACUCCCAUGGAUCAACCACCACCAGGCCAGGCUAAGGCCUACCCCCAGCCCAGACAGCAGGGCCUCACACACAGCAGCAGCACCCCUGGUGGUCUUCCCAGGAGCCCGGCCCUGGGAAGACCCUGACACAGGCUUUGAGGAGACCUUUUGACAUUGCCGCAGACACGGAUUUAGAAUGGUCCACCAAAUCAAAAAAAGAUUUCACACCAAGUUAACCACCAGAAAGUGUCAAGCAUCAAAAUGUCGUCCACAGCACGGAUGAUGGAUGUCCCCAAUUCAGUUUUGUUUCCUUCAUACGACCGGAAGUCCAUCCCGGUCUGGUUUCCCCUUCCUGUCUGGGGAAUGCUCUGGCCAGACUCACUUCCUGGUGGUGCUGGGGACUGUGGGAAUCACAAUCUGACGGGUCACCUGGCAACCUGGCUUGACUUUCUAGGAUGGUGCUGAUUCAUGGACGGGAGCCAUCCAGGAUCAUUUCAGGUCGGCGUUUGAUUUUAUUUGUUUCUCGUUCUCGUACUGCAGGAAAAAUAAUGCAAAGGUCAGGUUUGGCAGGUGGAGCUAACGAGGCAGUGGGGGGGUCAGGGGGGGGGCAGGGAAUUGGGGAGAGACCUUUAGAAACCUUCUUAUUUUGGAUCCUUCGAGCAGGGAUUUUAAACUCUUUUGGCACUUCAUCUAAAGGGCAAACUUGCCAGGGGAGGAAAAUGAAAAAGACGAACGAUAGGAUCAGAAAGUGCAAAGUGCAAAACAUGAAUCAUAUUUUGCAUUGUGUGCAAUUUCAAACGUUGAAAUGAAUCACGAAAUUAUAUUUUGAACGGAUCGUCUAUUAUUAUAAUAUCCAACAAUUUGAAUAAUCCACACAGUUAGUCAGACACACACAGAGCUCCUUAACCUAUUUUCUAACUGGCAUGAAUCAACGCAAGCCUCGUUAAUUCAGAGUCAACAACUCAUUAGUAUGCAGUGUGGAAAUAGAAGGGUGUGCUUGUUGUGUUGUUCAAUCCUAGUCUGAAUCCUCUCUCAGUAAUCGGACAGAUUAUUGCACCCAUAAUCCGUCCUUUGCACACGUGCACACAUCUUGCACUCGUACACACAGUCAAAAUAAAGUGUCAUUAAUAACCACGAUGGAUUUUGAAUCCGUCGAGUGCUUAGCCACAGGGGAUAUGCACUCAAUAAUGGCACACGCAAAACUACAGUAGCUACGGAUUAGUCUCGGUAAUCACAUAUUUACAGGUUCAGAAAUACAUUUCUGAUGCGGGCACCCAUUGAUAUCGGUUUGCUCUAAAUUAUAGAGUGACGUGUGCUGAUUGUUUUGCCAGUGACAUUUUUGCUUUCAAACAAUCAAAUGUGCUUUUUUUUUUUUUUUUCAGCCAAUCACAUACAGAAUGUACGCACGCACGCACGCAUAUUACCACGGCAGCUCUCCGUGAUGACUUCCUAUUUAAUCUGUAGCUGUGUCCAAUGAGGAGACAGAUUGUAAUUUACACACAUAUCCCCCCCCCCCCCACCCACCCAACAGCCCCCCACACAACCAGCAUGUUUGAAGUAUAUCUGUCAGCUGAUAUGGCCCAUAUAUAUACUGUAUACACUCUGUAAUGACAUGUAAUCUCCAAUUACACUGACAGAAGCACAUAUUAAUCCCUAGAUGGGGGUCAGCCAGACAGGCUUUAUGUAAACGUCAGAGGAAGCGUCCAGGGUGGGGAUACAGUUAAAGAUUCAACGCAGUGACCUCACUGUUUCUGCAGGGAUUGUAGAUUACAGUUUGCGACAAAACGUAUGCUGUUUGAGUGUGAGGAUUAUGGUACACACGCACGCACACACACACACACACACACACACACACACACACACACACACACACACACACACACACACACACACACACACACACACACACACACACACACACACACACACACACAUACACACACACACACACACACACACGGCAAUAGCUUAAACAA